GAUAACCUUGGAAGUUAUCAAGAUAGGAAAUAGAGUGAGAUCGAGAAAAGAAAGAAAUAAGAGAGAUAGAUUGAUAGAAAUGGAAGGAGAAAAGAGUUUGUUGUUUGUUGUGAUGUUAAGACAUGAGGAAACCCUAAACAAUUGGGUCCUCUUAAAUACUCAACAGUAGUACUAAAGACUCUAUCUCUCCGAGAGGUUUAUCCUCUCAAACUCUCUAUUACAAUUAGUGGCUCUUAGCCACUUUGCUUCUUCUCGUGUCUCCUGCUGUCACGACCCGAUCUCUUGCCUUUUCUCACAUACGCCAACGGAACACAAAGUCUAUCNN
This 325-nucleotide long non-coding RNA is filed under the name Capsella grandiflora. Its description in RNAcentral is "long non-coding RNA (CGRA_LNC001751)". The record is from RNAcentral. Lineage: Eukaryota; Viridiplantae; Streptophyta; Magnoliopsida; Brassicales; Brassicaceae.